This 429-nucleotide ribosomal RNA is filed under the name Pseudomonadota bacterium. RNAcentral's name for it is "Proteobacteria bacterium partial 16S ribosomal RNA". It matches the Rfam family "Bacterial small subunit ribosomal RNA", at positions 355 to 776 of the family's 1533-position model. Lineage: Bacteria; Pseudomonadati; Pseudomonadota. The record is from RNAcentral.
UGGGGAAUAUUGGACAAUGGGCGAAAGCCUGAUCCAGCCAUGCCGCGUGUGUGAAGAAGGUCGUCGGAUUGUAAAGCACUUUAAGUUGGGAGGAAGGGCAGUAAGCGAAUACCUUGCUGUUUUGACGUUACCGACAGAAUAAGCACCGGCUAACUCUGUGCCAGCAGCCGCGGUAAUACAGAGGGUGCAAGCGUUCAUCGGAAUUACUGGGCGUAAAGCGCGCGUAGGUGGUUCGUUAAGUUGAAUGUGAAAGCCCCGGGCUCAACCUGGGAACUGCAUCCAAAGCUGGCGGGCUAGAGUAGGGCAGAGGGUGGUGGAAUUUCCUGUGUAGCGGUGAAAUGCGUAGAUAUAGGAAGGAACACCAGUGGCGAAGGCGACCACCUGGGCUCAUACUGACACUGAGGUGCGAAAGCGUGGGGAGCAAACAGG